RNAcentral lists this long non-coding RNA (4381 nucleotides) under Equus caballus (horse). RNAcentral describes it as "lncRNA (ENSECAG00000058699.1)". The record is from RNAcentral. Lineage: Eukaryota; Metazoa; Chordata; Mammalia; Perissodactyla; Equidae.
UGCUGACAGACAGCUGGGAGCUGAGAGGCGUCUGACAGGGACGAGCGAGGCAGAGAUGACAGGGUGGUGGGCGGUCCUGUCACUCUUAGCGGGACUGCUGAGCAGAGCCUCUGCUCCUUCACCUGGAGAGGUGAGCUGCUGCCACAGCAUGGCUACUGACAGAUGGAUUGUGUGGUUCGACACCCUGGAACCAAACCCAGGCCGCCAAAGUGGCCUGUCCCAAACUACAGGAAUGAGUGAGGCCUGAAAGAGACACCAGUUUUGAGAAUCCAGAGGCAGAGUCUGGGAUGCUGCCUUCUCCACCGGCCUUUGCUUGUGCCUCGCUACAGCCCACAAUCUGGAACGUGUCUGGAACAAUGAAUUUUAACUGAGAAAAUAUGAAUGUAUGCUAGCCUGGGAAACAGAACCAACACUGCUCUGUCUCUCGGGCUCUCUGUGCAUUAUAAGGGGACAUACAAAUAUGAGGAAUUUUUGCUGUUCAUAUGACCAACACAGGUAGGUAAAUCAUUUUCUUCCCCAGGACACAUGUUUCUGGGCCUGCCCACUCCCUGCAGCUUGCACCGUCGGUCACUAAGUAGUGAUACUAGUCACCAUUAUUCGAAGACCUGUUAUGCUCCAGGUACUACACUUAGUCCUUUACAAACGUCUCAUUUAAUCCUCACAGCAUCCUUGUUAAAUGAGUAUCACUGGCCCCAUUUGCUAGUCAGGGAAUCUGAGGUUUUGAGAGGCUGCCCAAGGUCACCUGGCUAAUAAACAGCAACAACAGGAUUUCAGCUCAGUCUUUGUCUCUCAUGCCCACGCCUUCCUCUCUUCACCGAGCUCGCUGUAGGGUACCCAGUCACAGAACGCAGAUCCUGCUCACACACCCACUGUUGAGGCCUCAACCCCCUCCUCUGUCUACGUCCAUCUCUGUUUUAAACUGUAAGCCAGACUAUAGAUGGCAGGAACUGCUUGUUGAAUUCAUCUCAUGGUGCUCAGCAUACUUCCAGGAAUAUACAGCAGAUUUCUUUCUAAGAAAAGUAAUGGGUCCAUGAGUUUCAAAUUGUGUCUGAAGGCAAGAGACCGGGUUUGAAACCAACACCAUCACUUACUAGCAAUGUAACUUUGCUGCUGUCAUUUCCUCUCUCUGGCCUCAGUCUCCUCAUCUGUAAAGUGAAAUACUAGCCGCGAUGGUCUCCUGGGUUCCUUCCAAACAUGACUUUCCAAGAGCCUACGGUGUCACGUGAUGCAGAGCGGAGAAUUCCUGAAAAAUGCCUGGUCUUCCCAAGUCAGUCCUUUUCAGACAGGACUGUACGUGCCAAAAUGUGCAGAGGUAUCCUAAAUUUUCACAAAGCAAGGUCUGCCUAUCCGUUCAUUAUUCUGUAUUCUUGAGCGUCUAGUCCAUUACUCUACCUGUGGGAAGAACUUGGUGACUCAUGACUAAGCUCCCUUCAAGCCAUGGUGAUGUGUGACAAGAGCGCUUGAUGGACACAGGUAGUGGGUCUGCUGUCUCAGAGGGCGUAGCAGGAGGCAAGUCUAUUGUCUCGAGCUGGGCGGUCACAGCUGCAGGGUGAGUCCCUGGACACCAGACUGGAAAGAGCCCUGGAUGUGACGUCCGGGGAUCUGGAUGUGAGUUCCAAGCCUGUCCCAGUCAGCUGUGUGAAUUUGGGCAAUGGACCUCACCGCUCCUAUCCUCAGUUUCAUCACCUUUACUGAGAGAAUUCUGUCUACUCAGCAUCUGUCAUGGGCUGUUGAGGAAGACGAAUCUCGAAGGACAUAGAUGCAAAAGUGCUUUGGGAACUGUCCAGCGCUCGAGAGACGGGUCAUCCUUUUACCUUCUGAUUAUCUCUGGAAUCCAUCCAUGUCGUCUCUAUCAGUGGCUCCUCAAACCAGCUUCCAGCUUCUCUCAUCUGGCCUCCUGCCCACGUCAGCCCUGCUUCCAGUCUCUUCAGUAGGCGUGCAGCCAGCGAGAUCACCUGACCCUGUACCCUGAGGACUGGAGGGAAAAGCGGGAUGGAGGGCUGAGGGGCUAAAGGUAGUUUGGAUUAAGAAAAAGGGAUAUGGGUUGGGUCCCGUGGCCAAGUGGUUGGGUUCGCACACUCCCCUUCAGCAGCCCAGGGCUCGCUGGUUCAGAUCCCAGGUGCGAACCUACACGCUGUUCAUCAAGCCAUGCUGUGGCGGCAUCCCACAUGGAAGAACUAGAAUGACUCACAACUAGGAUGUGCAACUAAGUACUGGGGCUUUGGGGAGGAAAAAAAAGAGGAGGAAGAUUGGCAACAGAUGUUAGCUCAGGGCCAAUCUUCCUCAUCAAAAAGAAAGCAUAAAAAAAGAGAAAGGGAUAAAGCUGGAGAGAAAGGUGGAAUCACCUUGGUCCAAUCGACACGUAUUUAUCGAGUGGGCUGUGCUUGGUGUUGUGAGGGGGUCAGUUACAGUGUCCUGCCCUUGUGUUACUUAGCGACUCACUCCAACGUGAAACAGAUGGAGUGCGACUGAAUGCAAAGUUGUGUGCGUCUAAUCGUAAACUACUUCUGCCUGUUGCAGAAGCCCAGAGAAGCUCAUGGCGAAGGUUGGGUUUAAGACGGGACCUUGAAGAGCAAGCUGGAUGACAACGGAGAGAAGGAUGGGCUUCUGGACAGGGGGUCCGAUUGGGCUAAGACUGGGGUCAGGGCACAGCAGAGUGGGGAACGCGUGGUGGGGAGAAGGGGCCCAGCGUGGGGGUGAGCUGGCUGCACUCUGUCGGACAGCAGGCUGGGUGGUGGACUCAGGUGAAGCCAGACUUCAAAGUCUAGCCUGAGGGGAAGCAAUUUAAUUUAGACUAAAUGUGGAUAAUCUGAUGAAUCAUUGAUUUGCUCAGUGGAUCAUUUCAUAGCUCAGAAACGGAGGAAGCAGGGAAGAAAUGCGCUGCUCUGGACUUAACUCUGACCAGCCCCAGGGAACACUUGUUGGCAAUCGAGGGACUGGGACCCUUGGAGAAAGUGACUGUCAGGCUGGAGUGGGCACCGCAGGCUCAUUACAGGAUCCCAGAGGGAGUCUAUCAGGACAGGGUCCCCUCUCUCCCUCAGCCUCUGCAGGAGGCUCGUGCCUCUCUGCCUCCACUCCGACCCACCCUGGCAGGCCCACCCCUCGCCCGGCCCCGAGCCCCUGGAUCCCAGCCCCCUUCUGACUCUGUGCCAGGUCUCCGGCCAUGCCCACCCUCCUCGGGCCCCCCUUCGGCUUCCCGAUCUGAGCAAGGGCCAGUGCUCUGUGCUCUCUGGCGAAGAGGGCGGGGGGGGGGGCGAGGUGGCAGAGAAGUGGAGCCUGGAGAAAUCCCAAGCCAACCACACUGCCUCCCGCCAGCAUUCGACCAAAACAGCUCACCGGGAAGCAGCGGCGGUGCUCCCCGCCCUCCCACGCUCCGAGGGUCUUCUGCCCACUCAGGCCUUGCUCUGGCCACUCGGAUCUGCUCGUGAGAUGGAGCCGUGGGAGUGCCCGCACCAGUCAAGCCUCCAGCCCAGGGCAGCAGGCAACAAACAUCAUACCCGUGCAGAGGAUGCGGCAUACCAGAGGGUGGCAAGCAUCACAGGGAGAAACAGAGCCGCUGUGCUUUCUUCUCUCUCUUGCUGCUUCCCCACUCCGCCUGAUGUGGCUCCUGAGCCCUUCCUCACUCCCUGUCUCCGAGGCCAGCCCCUCCCUGCCACGUCCUGGCCCUGCAGAGGACUGCCAAGUAUAGGGUUUCUUGAUUUUAGCAGGAAUUGGACAAAGGCUCCCGUAACGGUCUUUGUGGACACUGUAGAGGACUAAGUCGGAUGACAGUAUAUACGGUGGAGACCUUGUUGGUUGAACAGCCAAAAAGAGUGUUGAUUAUUGUCAUCGUAAAGAUAUACAACAGGGCUUUUUCAUUGACUUUGACAGUUUCAGUAUUUUAGUCUGUGGCUUGGAUAAAGACUCAAUGGCACAAAACUUAGAGGAAAAGAUAAUACGAAAAUCAGCAAGAUCCAAUAGCUAAAGACUGGAGGAGGAGAAACAAGCCAGACUGCCUGCUGGAUGACUCCUCAGGCUCCUCGGGCAGCCCAGCAGAAGCAGGCUGGAGCCGUGCUGGUGCGCACGCUCCUCUCCUAACUGGCACUGGGGAGUACGAUAUGUCUUAUGCCAACAAGGCUGUAAAGCUCAGCCCCACUUUAUCAUUAAUAUGCAAGGCAGUGGGCACCGGAGCCCUCUCCGGGAUCACACGCGCACACACAGGAGAUGCCAAGCCAUGUCCAGCCGAAGCAUGACUCUCUGAGGGAUGGCAAGGGUCUGGGAGGGUGGUGUCCACCCUGCCAGCCAUGUGGCUGAGCCCCUCUACUUUGCAUCUACAUUGUAUGUCACUUGUAGAGCUUAUCCUCUCCCCUUGUUCCACAGAUGAGUUAAAACGAUAAGAUUA